Long non-coding RNA from Formica exsecta, 542 nucleotides. RefSeq lists it as uncharacterized. Lineage: Eukaryota; Metazoa; Arthropoda; Insecta; Hymenoptera; Formicidae. The record is from RefSeq and is a predicted model, not a curated record. The transcript has 3 exons.
UCGCUUUCCGCCAUCUUUAGAUAGAAUAAAACCAUUAUCGGGGUAACGCGUGUGGUUCCGUGGCUGACUGACAGUCGGCAGGUUCCGGGUUUGAGAUUACGCAUUUUGAUUCUUAUAUAUCUCUCAAAAAGUAAAUAGCAUCGAAUUUUUAAGCUUAAUAAAAGAUUGAAUGUGCUUAGUGAUUAACCAGACUAAAUUUCAAGGAAAAAUUCAAGAAAUAAGAUCGCAAACAAAUAGGAGAUUUGCAAAAUACAUUGGAAAUUGUGAUACUGUGUUCCUGAAUAGGACGGAAUAAAGAAGAAAAUUUUUGUCGGAGCUUAGAGCAUUGGUGGGUCAUUUCAGCGUGGUACUCUGUGUUCCUUAGCGUGAAAAUCUAAUAAAAAAAAGACGCAGAGAUAAUUUUAUUUCUCGGAGACAUGAGUUAUCCGAUGUCGUCGAAUCAAUCUAGACCAAUGUCUCAAGGAAAUUAUCAAGGCCCAGGCGACUUGCCUAUGGGGUCCGCAAAAGAACAGACCUUGAUGUGGCAAGAAAUAUUAGUUUAU